This 120-nucleotide ribosomal RNA is filed under the name Pteropus alecto (black flying fox). The record is from RNAcentral. Lineage: Eukaryota; Metazoa; Chordata; Mammalia; Chiroptera; Pteropodidae.
GUCUAUGGCCAUGCUAACUCUGAACAUGCUCAAUCCCGUCUGAUCUCGGAAGCUAAGCAGGGUCGAACCUGGUUAGUACUUGGAUGGGAGACCACCUAGGAAGACCAGGUGCUGUAGGUA